Molecule: non-coding RNA, 21 nt
Filed under: Arabidopsis thaliana (thale cress)
Lineage: Eukaryota; Viridiplantae; Streptophyta; Magnoliopsida; Brassicales; Brassicaceae
Source: RNAcentral
UUCCCAAAAGGCAUAUGCUUU